CAGCGAUAAGGGGACCUUGAGUGCCAGGAUACAAUCCUGGCUGUCGUGAUGCCUAAAAAGCAUUAUAUAGCAAGGGCCGGGCAAGACCGGUGCCAGCCGCCGCGGUAACACCGGCGGCUCGAGUGGUAACCGCUAUUAUUGGGUCUAAAGGGUCUGUAGCCGGCUUGGUUAGUCUCUUGGGAAAUCCGGCAGCUUAACUGUCGGGCUUUCAGGAGAUACUGCCAGGCUCGAGACCGGGAGAGGUGAGAGGUACUUCAUGGGUAGGGGUGAAAUCUUGUAAUCCUUGAAGGACCACCAGUGGCGAAGGCGUCUCACCAGAACGGAUCUGACGGCAAGGGACGAAAGCUAGGGGCACGAACCGGAUUAGAUACCCGGGUAGUCCUAGCCGUAAACGAUACUCGCUAGGUGUCGGCCACGGUGCGACCGUGGUCGGUGCCGUAGGGAAGCCGUGAAGCGAGCCACCUGGGAAGUACGGCCGCAAGGCUGAAACUUAAAGGAAUUGGCGGGGGAGCAC
RNAcentral lists this ribosomal RNA (514 nucleotides) under uncultured archaeon. RNAcentral describes it as "bacterial SSU rRNA". It matches the Rfam family "Archaeal small subunit ribosomal RNA", at positions 365 to 879 of the family's 1478-position model. The record is from RNAcentral.